This 351-nucleotide unclassified non-coding RNA is filed under the name soil metagenome. Its description in RNAcentral is "partial contains 5.8S ribosomal RNA, internal transcribed spacer 2, and large subunit ribosomal RNA". The stretch from base 1 to 121 matches the Rfam family "5.8S ribosomal RNA", at positions 35 to 154 of the family's 154-position model. The record is from RNAcentral.
GAUGAAGAACGUAGCGAAAUGCGAUAAGUAAUGCGAAUUGCAGAAUUUCCGUGAGUCAUCGAAUCUUUGAACGCACAUUGCGCCCUCUGGUAUUCCGGGGGGCAUGCCUGUUCGAGCGUCAUUGCAACCCCUCAAGCACAGCUUGUGUGUUGGGCUCUCGUCCCCUGUGGACGGGCCUGAAAUGCAGUGGCAGCACCGAGAUACCGGUGUCUGAGUGUAUGGGCAUUGAUCAUCACUCGAUAGACCCGAUCGGCGCUGACCGUCAAACCACGAUUCCUCGGAAUCAUCCAGUUUUGACCUCGGAUCAGGUAGGAAUACCCGCUGAACUUAAGCAUAUCAAUAAGCGGAGGA